RNAcentral lists this ribosomal RNA (617 nucleotides) under Ustilaginaceae sp. 2.PDDEC. RNAcentral describes it as "eukaryotic LSU rRNA". It matches the Rfam family "Eukaryotic large subunit ribosomal RNA", at positions 54 to 652 of the family's 3401-position model. Lineage: Eukaryota; Fungi; Basidiomycota; Ustilaginomycetes; Ustilaginales; Ustilaginaceae. The record is from RNAcentral.
AGGAAAAGAAACUAACAAGGAUUCCCCUAGUAACGGCGAGUGAAGAGGGAAGAGCCCAAGAUUGAAAGCUGGCGCCUUCGGCGUCCGCAUUGUAAUCUCAAGAAGUGUUUUCCGCUUCGGACCAUGCCUAAGUCCCUUGGAAAAGGGCAUCAUAGAGGGUGAUAAUCCCGUACAUGGCAUGGAGCGCCCGAAGCUUUGUGAUACGCUUUCUACGAGUCGAGUUGUUUGGGAAUGCAGCUCAAAAUGGGUGGUAAAUGCCAUCUAAGGCUAAAUAUUGGGGAGAGACCGAUAGCGAACAAGUACAGUGAUGGAAAGAUGAAAAGAACUUUGAAAAGAGAGUUAAACAGUACGUGAAAUUGCCAAAAGGGAAGGGUAGGAGGUCAGAGAUGCGUCCUGGGAUUCAGCCUUGCUUCUGCAUGGUGUUUUUCCCAGGCUGCAGGCCAACGUCGGUUUUGGGCACUGGAGAAGGGUGGAAGGAACGUGGCACCUCUCGGGGUGUGUUAUAGCCUUCCACUGGAUACAGCGACCGAGACCGAGGACAGCAGCGUACUCGCAAGAGCGGGCCUUCGGGCACCUUUACGCUUAGGGCGUUGGCAUAAUGGCCCUCUACCACCCGU